UACGGAGGGGGCUAGCGUUGUUCGGAAUUACUGGGCGUAAAGCGCACGUAGGCGGCUUUGUAAGUUAGAGGUGAAAGCCCAGGGCUCAACCCUGGAAUUGCCUUUAAGACUGCAUCGCUUGAAUCAUGGAGAGGUGAGUGGAAUUCCGAGUGUAGAGGUGAAAUUCGUAGAUAUUCGGAGGAACACCAGUGGCGAAGGCGGCUCACUGGUCCGGUACUGACGCUGAGGUGCGAAAGCGUGGGGAGCAAACAGG
Molecule: ribosomal RNA, 253 nt
Filed under: uncultured prokaryote
Description: partial 16S ribosomal RNA
Rfam family: Bacterial small subunit ribosomal RNA
Source: RNAcentral